CAGCCGCCGCGGGAAUACGUAGGUGGCAAGCGUUGUCCGGAAUUAUUGGGCGUAAAGGGCUCGCAGGCGGUUUCUUAAGUCUGAUGUGAAAGCCCCCGGCUCAACCGGGGAGGGUCAUUGGAAACUGGGAAACUUGAGUGCAGAAGAGGAGAGUGGAAUUCCACGUGUAGCGGUGAAAUGCGUAGAGAUGUGGAGGAACACCAGUGGCGAAGGCGACUCUCUGGUCUGUAACUGACGCUGAGGAGCGAAAGCGUGGGGAGCGAACAGGAUUAGAUACCCCUGUAGUCCCUGUCUCUUAUAU
Molecule: ribosomal RNA, 301 nt
Filed under: uncultured bacterium
Lineage: Bacteria
Description: partial 16S ribosomal RNA
Rfam family: Bacterial small subunit ribosomal RNA
Source: RNAcentral